This 306-nucleotide ribosomal RNA is filed under the name Vazquezitocoris repletus. Its description in RNAcentral is "SSU rRNA". It matches the Rfam family "Eukaryotic small subunit ribosomal RNA", at positions 20 to 316 of the family's 1831-position model. The record is from RNAcentral. Lineage: Eukaryota; Metazoa; Arthropoda; Insecta; Hemiptera; Coreidae.
GUAGUCAUAUGCUUGUCUCAAAGCUUAAGCCAUGCAAGUCUCAGUACGAACUGACUUAAAGUGAAACCGCAAAAGGCUCAGUAAACCGGUCAUAGUUUACCGGAUAUAUGCCACUCACGUGGAUAACUGUGGUAAUUCUAGAGCUAAUACAUGCAAACAAGUCCCGACCAGCGAUGGAGAGGACGCUUUUAUUGGAUCAAAACCUUUCGCCCGGCCAGCCCGGGCGUCAGCUUGAUGACUCUAGAUAACACCACAGAUCGCACGGUCACAGUACCGGUGACAUAUCCUUCAAAUGUCUGACUUAUC